This 253-nucleotide ribosomal RNA is filed under the name uncultured bacterium. RNAcentral's name for it is "partial 16S ribosomal RNA". It matches the Rfam family "Bacterial small subunit ribosomal RNA", at positions 524 to 776 of the family's 1533-position model. The record is from RNAcentral.
UACGGGGGGGGCAAGCGUUGUUCGGAAUUACUGGGCGUAAAGGGCUCGUAGGCGGCCAACUAAGUCGGACGUGAAAUCCCCAGGCUCAACCUGGGAACUGCGUCCGAUACUGGAUGGCUUGAAUUCGGGAGAGGGAUGCAGAAUUCCAGGUGUAGCGGUGAAAUGCGUAGAUAUCGUAAGGAAGACCAGUGGCGAAGGCGGGUCUCUGGACAGUUCCUGACGCUGAGGCACGAAGGUCAGGGGAGCAAACGGG